UGAGCCUCUGAAUUAGCUGAAUCAGGCGA
Molecule: non-coding RNA, 29 nt
Filed under: Mus musculus (house mouse)
Lineage: Eukaryota; Metazoa; Chordata; Mammalia; Rodentia; Muridae
Source: RNAcentral